UGCGGCUGGAUCACCUCCUUACCUAAAGAUACGCAUUGUGCAGUGUCCACACAGAUUGUCUGAUAGAAAGUAACGAGCAGAAAUACCU
Molecule: ribosomal RNA, 88 nt
Filed under: Bacillus sp. I2MY02A
Lineage: Bacteria; Bacillati; Bacillota; Bacilli; Caryophanales; Bacillaceae
Also listed under: 1 other name
Description: partial 16S ribosomal RNA
Source: RNAcentral